GUGUCAGCCGCCGCGGUAAGACGGAGGAGGCAAGCGUUGUCCGGAAUCAUUGGGCGUAAAGAGCGCGUAGGCGGUUUUUCAAGUCGUAUGUGAAAACUUCAGGCUUAACCUGAUGAUUGCAUAUGAAACUGGAUAACUUGAGUACAGCAGAGGAAAGUGGAAUUCCUGGUGUAGCGGUGAAAUGUGCAGAUAUCAGGAAGAACACCAGUAGCGAAGGCGGCUUUCUGGGCUGUUACUGACGCUGAGGCGCGAAAGCUAGGGGAGCGAACAGGAUUAGAUACCCUGGUAGUCCUAGCCGUAAACGAUGGACACUAGGCGUGGGAAGUUAUCGACGCUUUCUGUGCCGAAGCUAACGCAUUAAGUGUCCCGCCUGGGGAGUACGGCCGCAAGGCUAAAACUUAAAUGAAUUGACGGGG
RNAcentral lists this ribosomal RNA (416 nucleotides) under uncultured prokaryote. Its description in RNAcentral is "bacterial SSU rRNA". It matches the Rfam family "Bacterial small subunit ribosomal RNA", at positions 505 to 918 of the family's 1533-position model. The record is from RNAcentral.